Molecule: ribosomal RNA, 469 nt
Filed under: uncultured bacterium
Lineage: Bacteria
Description: partial 16S ribosomal RNA
Rfam family: Bacterial small subunit ribosomal RNA
Source: RNAcentral
GACGAACGCUGGCGGCGUGCUUAACACAUGCAAGUCGAACGGAAAGGCCCUGCUUUUGUGGGGUGCUCGAGUGGCGAACGGGUGAGUAACACGUGAGUAACCUGCCCUUGACUUUGGGAUAACUUCAGGAAACUGGGGCUAAUACCGGAUAGGAGCUCCUGCUGCAUGGUGGGGGUUGGAAAGUUUCGGCGGUUGGGGAUGGACUCGCGGCUUAUCAGCUUGUUGGUGGGGUAGUGGCUUACCAAGGCUUUGACGGGUAGCCGGCCUGAGAGGGUGACCGGCCACAUUAGGACUGAGAUACGGCCCAGACUCCUACGGGAGGCAGCAGUGGGGAAUAUUGCACAAUGGGCGGAAGCCUGAUGCAGCAACGCCGCGUGCGGGAUGACGGCCUUCGGGUUGUAAACCGCUUUCGCCUGUGACGAAGCGUGAGUGACGGUAAUGGGUAAAGAAGCACCGGCUAACUACGUGC